RNAcentral lists this ribosomal RNA (527 nucleotides) under Blastocystis sp. subtype 4. Its description in RNAcentral is "SSU rRNA". It matches the Rfam family "Eukaryotic small subunit ribosomal RNA", at positions 25 to 568 of the family's 1831-position model. The record is from RNAcentral. Lineage: Eukaryota; Bigyra; Opalinata; Blastocystidae.
CAUACGCUCGUCUCAAAGAUUAAGCCAUGCAUGUGUAAGUAUAAAUAUUUGACUUUGAAACUGCGAAUGGCUCAUUAUAUCAGUUAUAGUUUAUUUGAUGAAAAGUACUACUUGGAUAACCGUAGUAAUUCUAGAGCUAAUACAUGAUAAAAUCCUCGACUUUGAAGAGGUGUAUUUAUUAGAAUGAAACCAAGAGACUUCGGUCUAUUUGUGAGUAAUAAUAACUAAUCGUAUCGCAUGCUUAGGUAGCGAUAUGUCUUUCAAGUUUCUGCCCUAUCAGCUUUGGAUGGUAGUGUAUUGGACUACCAUGGCAGUAACGGGUAACGAAGAAUUUGGGUUCGAUUUCGGAGAGGGAGCCUGAGAGAUGGCUACCACAUCCAAGGAAGGCAGCAGGCGCGUAAAUUACCCAAUCCUGACAUAGGGAGGUAGUGACAAUAAAUCACAAUGCGGAACUAUUAGUUUUGCAAUUGGAUUGAGAACAAUGUACAAAUGUUAUCGAUAAACAAUUGGAGGGCAAGUCUGGUGCC